AUGUUCCGAAACAAAGCAACACAAGGACCUGGGUGGGCAGCAGCAAGGAGGCGAUGGCAGAGCAGCGGGUCUCGGUGGCCGGCGUCGUCGGAUCUCGCGGAUGGGAGGCUGAUGCCUCGGGAGCUCGUGGGAUCGAAGGUCAACGGCGCUGGAGUUGCUGCUGCUGUUAGAGGUGAAGCAGUGCGCAGUUCAGGCAAAGCGGAGGCAGCGGCGGUGGGGCUUGGGGCUGACAACGAGGAUCCGGGCGAGGCCGGUGUUCUCCGGUGUGGUGGCGACGGACUUGGGGCGGAGGAGGCAAGAAGGCGCGGCGGCGGCCUGGACUCGGGAAGGAGGCCGAGUGCUGCAGGCGCGCGACGAUGA
This 360-nucleotide ribosomal RNA is filed under the name Triticum aestivum (bread wheat). RNAcentral's name for it is "partial small subunit ribosomal RNA". The record is from RNAcentral. Lineage: Eukaryota; Viridiplantae; Streptophyta; Magnoliopsida; Poales; Poaceae.